GACGAACGCUGGCGGCGUGCUUAACACAUGCAAGUCGAACGGGUCUGCCCUGUUUUUUGCGGGGUGGGUCAGUGGCGAACGGGUGAGUAACACGUGAGUAACCUGCCCCUCACUUCUGGAUAACCGCUUGAAAGGGUGGCUAAUACGGGGUGUUCUGGCUGUGCCGCAUGGUGUGGCUGGGAAAGAUUCACUUUUGUGGUGUUUUGGUGGGGGUGGGGCUCGCGGCCUAUCAGCUUGUUGGUGGGGUGAUGGCCUGCCAAGGCUUUGACGGGUAGCCGGCCUGAGAGGGUGGGCGGUCACACUGGGACUGAGAUACGGCCCAGACUCCUGCGGGAGGCAGCAGUGGGGGGUAUUGCACAAUGGGCGGAAGCCUGAUGCAGCGACGUCGCGUGAGGGAUGGAGGCCUUCGGGUUGUGAACCUCUUUCGCCGGUGAAGAAGGUCCUGCUCUUUGUGGUGGGGUUGACGGUAGCCGGGUUAUGAAGCGCCGGCUAACUACGUG
Molecule: ribosomal RNA, 500 nt
Filed under: uncultured bacterium
Lineage: Bacteria
Description: partial 16S ribosomal RNA
Rfam family: Bacterial small subunit ribosomal RNA
Source: RNAcentral